GUGAAUGAAGCUCAGUGAAAGAGCGCUUGCCUAGAAUGUGAGAGACCCUGGGUUUGAUCCCCACCACACACA
This 72-nucleotide transfer RNA is filed under the name Cavia porcellus (domestic guinea pig). It matches the Rfam family "tRNA". From Rfam's summary of the family: Transfer RNA (tRNA) molecules are approximately 80 nucleotides in length. Their secondary structure includes four short double-helical elements and three loops (D, anti-codon, and T loops). Lineage: Eukaryota; Metazoa; Chordata; Mammalia; Rodentia; Caviidae. The record is from Rfam by way of RNAcentral.